Long non-coding RNA from Drosophila hydei, 1040 nucleotides. RefSeq lists it as uncharacterized. NCBI's taxonomy places the organism in Eukaryota, Metazoa, Arthropoda, Insecta, Diptera, Drosophilidae. The transcript has 3 exons. The record is from RefSeq and is a predicted model, not a curated record.
AUUAAAAUACAUAUAGAACAAAUUUGAAGAUGUAAGCAUUUCAUAGAAUCGAGAGCCCCUAGUUGUUUUACAUAUUACAGAAAAAUAACAAAAAUUAAGUUAAAAAGAAAGUUGUAAAUUUCGUAAGAAAUUUAAGUCAACAGACAAUGUUUCUUCUAGCUGUUACAACAUUGUGUUCUUGUUCAUACUCUUGUUCAAUAUGUGUGUGCAAGCCAGCAUAACCAAAAAAAAAAAACAAGAAUAGAAGAAUAAUACAUAAAAAAGCAACUGCUGCUGGCCAAGUGCUUUGAGAGCUAAAAGCAUGUUAUCAGUCAUCUUACGUGUCAACGGGGCUCGAACCAAAUACCACAUACCAAAUACCAAAUAUUGUACAAUAUGUACGCACGGAGAGGAAAAGGGGGCAUUAAAGGCCAGACAAGGACACAAACUCGAACACGAGACGCAUUUUGUUAACUGUUUCUGCUUUGUUUUUGUAUUUUUGAUAUUUCUUGAGCAUUAAACUUUGAUGAGUUAUCACACCACUUGUGGCAUGUGAAAUUUGUUGAGGUGUCUGGGAAUUUAUGCCCCAUCGACUGACUUGCACGUUAUUUAUGUUCAUGACCUUUAAUGGCAGCCCAUCUGCUGGCAGGAGCAGGAGGUCGCGUAGCUGCAGAAGGAGGAGGAGGAGGAGGAGGAGGGCACACGCAGCGCCAUCAAACAAAUUGCCAUGGCGAAGCGUGCGUCUUGUGGUAUGCACAUUGAAUUUUGAUAUGGGAUAUGCGAUGUGGUAUGUGGAUCAGGAUAAGGCACAACUGUUGGCUCCCAGUGCCCGGCAAAAGAUUAAUUGAUACAUGUCCAUUUUGUGUUGACAAGCAGCCAGCAAGAAAUCUCCUCACAAUAGAAGCAACAACAACGACAAUAAAGGUACAACUAUGGCCAAAUAUAAAUGACAUACAAUAAGGCCAGGACACUUUUAUCGCUCCCAGUUGAUAAUAAACAAUCUGGGACAAGGCAUUAAAAAACACACACAACAACAACAACAAUAACAAUAGUUGUAUAUA